Molecule: ribosomal RNA, 521 nt
Filed under: Cladophora glomerata
Lineage: Eukaryota; Viridiplantae; Chlorophyta; Ulvophyceae; Cladophorales; Cladophoraceae
Description: eukaryotic LSU rRNA
Rfam family: Eukaryotic large subunit ribosomal RNA
Source: RNAcentral
AAUAAGCGGAGGAAAAGAAACCNACAGGGAUUCCCUUAGUAACGGCGAGCGAAAAGGGAUGAGCCCAGCAUGUAAAUCUCCGGUUUCCGGCGAAUUGUAGUCUGGAGUAGCAACUCCUGGUGCCGUGCCGGCCCAAGCACCUUGGAAUAGAUCGCCUCAGAGGGUGAGAGCCCCGUAGGUCGGUACGAGCUCCUGCACGGAGUGCUCACGCAGAGUCGGGUUGUUUGGGAAUGCAGCCCCAAUUGGGUGGUAAACCCCAUCUAAGGCUAAAUACCUGUGGGAGACCGAUAGCAAAAAAGUACCUCGAGGGAACGAUGAAAAGACCGCUGGCAAGCGAGUGAAAGAGUGCAUGAAAUUGUAUAGUGGGAAGGGAUGGCCUGGCGWAUUGCCCGCGGGUAUACACUGCUCUUUGAGCUCUUGAAUACACCGUGGGCUGGCUGGUGCCGACACCUGCGCUUGCACAUCCCCAAACUAAGGUGUUUGGCUCUUCAAGCGCGGGUGUUGAGGUUGAUCGUCGCUUU